GUAGUCAGAUUCACAUCAAUCCACAUGUGUUGGGGUGGGUUGGAGUGGAACUUGAACUAAAUUCUACCUCAAUCCACUCCAAGGAUUGAGGUAAAUCCGAUA
RNAcentral lists this microRNA precursor (102 nucleotides) under Sorghum bicolor (sorghum). RNAcentral describes it as "MIR5565 microRNA precursor family". It matches the Rfam family "MIR5565 microRNA precursor family". The record is from Rfam by way of RNAcentral. Lineage: Eukaryota; Viridiplantae; Streptophyta; Magnoliopsida; Poales; Poaceae.